RNAcentral lists this ribosomal RNA (206 nucleotides) under uncultured bacterium. RNAcentral describes it as "partial 16S ribosomal RNA". It matches the Rfam family "Bacterial small subunit ribosomal RNA", at positions 1294 to 1500 of the family's 1533-position model. The record is from RNAcentral.
CGGAUUGAAGGCUGAAAUUCGCCUUCAUGAAGCUGGAAUUGCUAGUAAUGGCAGGUCAGCAUACUGCCGUGAAUACGUUCCCGGGCCUUGUACACACCGCCCGUCACACCAUGAGAGUUGGAAAUACCCGAAGCCUGUGAGCUAACUUAAAGAGGCAGCAGUCGAAGGUAGAGCCAAUGAUUGGGGUGAAGUCGUAACAAGGUACC